Molecule: long non-coding RNA, 1168 nt
Filed under: Dromaius novaehollandiae (emu)
Lineage: Eukaryota; Metazoa; Chordata; Aves; Casuariiformes; Dromaiidae
Description: lncRNA (ENSDNVG00000004319.1)
Source: RNAcentral
CUGCGGCUGCGGCCGCGCCGGGGGAACGUGAGGGAAAACACCCGGCUCCGGCGGUGCUGAACCCCGGAUCGCCUGAAACGCGUGUGCGAUCCGCGCGGAAACCGCCACUUCCCCCCAGAUCGCAUCCUCCCGUCGUGAAAUUUGGGCUCAGCCCCCCCCCCUCCCCCCCACGCGGGGUUUGGGGCUGUAAAGUUCCCGUUAGAAAUCGUGUCUUUAUGGUAGGAAGGCGGCUGUCGCUGGCCGCGAACCUGCCCCCGUGACUGACACGCUGGUACUGAUUUGGGUUUGAUCGAAUUGACUUUACACUGAUUUUAUUUGGCGUGCUGCAAAUGGCAUUGAGGCCGUGGUGCAGUCCGUGGCGAAGGCCACUCGGAACGCUUGAAAUGGGCAAGUUUGGAAAAUAAUGUCGUUGCUAUACCUUUUUAAUACUUUUAAUUCCCCCCUUCCACUCCUUUUUCUGCAGUCUUAAGCAUGGGAACUUUUACUUUCAAAAAACAUACGUAUCCUUUCUCUGGGUUCCUCUUUCAGUGGACGCCAAAUCCGGAGCAGCACGAGGUGAAGCGAGAGAUYAAACAGUUUUCGCCGAAGUGAUGGGAAUGAGGAUGUGGGUGUGCAAGGCGAGCAGUGUAGCAAUGCUAUGAAUGGUACAGCAGAGUACAGGCUGUUCACCGCUUUACCCAGGGAUUCUGGAGGAACUACGUGUAAGAAGACAGAAGAAAAAAGCGCUGGCUCUCUCUGGCGAUUUUCGGGUGYGAAUGACUGCGACGCGCAGAGCCGUUCCUGCCCCAGCAGCGAUGGGCUGUUUGCAGAGGGCCGUCCUGCUCUCUCCUGCACGCGCUCUUCAGACGGCAAUUCGUGGCCUUUCCGGGAAAAGGAUUUGCAGAGAUAGGCCACAGCGCUGGCUUAAGCAUCUUCAAAGUCUAAAAGCACAACGCGUAAAGGCCCGGUUGGUGAUGCCCUUUGAAACGGUCAUCGAAAGCGUUCUGAGAAGAAUCACAACACCAGUAAGUGUCAUAUUUAUUAACAAGUAAAUGUUUACUUAGGAAGGUAGUGCUCAUAAGGAAUUCCCGUUGUCGUCCUUUAAAUCCUCCUGUCCCGUGCUGAGCCCCAGGUCCUCGUACGACGUUUUGGGUCCCCCUGCCCACGCAACGGGCAUUGCCUCCCAGGC